GAUUAAUAAAAGUAAGCCACAGAAGCAGGUGUGGAACUAGACUUCUAAAAUUGGAGGGGACAAAGAUAUAUUUAUUAUGAAAAAAUGGUUUAGAUUAUUGGGGCAAAGACAUAUGAAAAUUUAUGAAUUUUAGAGAAGCCAUAAUUAUACUUAAAAAUAAAAAAUAAAAAAUGGGGGGCCAUGGCCCUUGCAACCCUACACCUAGUUCCACCCCUGCGCAGCAGUGCUCGACAUAAUAACACUACUUAGGAGCUUCUGUCCUUGCCUCUGGAAAAUG
RNAcentral lists this unclassified non-coding RNA (277 nucleotides) under Hevea brasiliensis (rubber tree). Lineage: Eukaryota; Viridiplantae; Streptophyta; Magnoliopsida; Malpighiales; Euphorbiaceae. The record is from RNAcentral.